This 1932-nucleotide unclassified non-coding RNA is filed under the name Hevea brasiliensis (rubber tree). The record is from RNAcentral. Lineage: Eukaryota; Viridiplantae; Streptophyta; Magnoliopsida; Malpighiales; Euphorbiaceae.
UCUAAACGAUUUUGGGUUAAAUUUCCUAGUGCGUCAAUAUAAGAUUAUUAUAGAUCGACAAAUAUAAAGUUUAAGUGGUGGUCCUUUUUGCCAAUGGAAGUGCAUACUAAAAGUGGAAAUAAAAAAGGAAUAUCUUUCUAGAACCUUGUGCCUAGAAUAAAGGCACACACCUAGGCGAUAAGGCGCUAGGGUUUGAGCUUGGUAAGCUUGGUGAGCCUGGUGCGCUCCUUUAAUAACUAUGGUGAAGACAAAAACAACAACUAAGCCUUGAGAUCGCCGUUUAGCUCUGUUAGACACUAGAUCUGCUUCAAUAGCCAAAACUUGGAAAUCUUAUGGUACAACUUCUCUCCACGUCAUUUUAAGCCUCUUCUUUUUCCUCCUCACUCAUUUCCCUACUAACUGACCACACUUCUAUGUCGGGACAUUUGAUUCUCUGCUUUGUACCAGACCAAACCAUCUUGAACAAUUCUCUUUCAUUUUAUCUUCAAUGUGUACUAGUUAAGGGAGUAAAGAAUUAGGUUAACAAUUAAGUGUGUUUGGUAAGAAGUUGGAGUGCGGUGAAAGUUAAAUAAAAAUAGUAAAAAUAAAUAGUCAAUAAUAAUUGUAAAAUAAUACAUAUUUAAAAGUUUAAGGUGGACUUUUAACCCUCUUCCAAACUUUGCCUAAUAUGAAAUUGAGGAUGUACUGUUUGGAUCAAUUUAGCAUGUGAAUCAUUCAACUAUUUACAUGUGUUUAUGACUCAAAUUGAUUGAAUAAAUGAAUUUCUGUGGAAAAAUUGUUCAUUUGUUAGCCAGUACUGUCUCUAUUUAACACACUACCAUGGAGAAUUUCCUGUUUGGAGAAUUUUAGCAUGGGAACCAUUUAACUAAUUUGCAUGAGUUUAUUAGGUGUCUUCAUUUUUUUAAAAAUAUAAGAAACAUUUUGCAAAUGCUUUAAUUUUUACUAUAUCUGUGCAGCCACACUGCCAUGGUGAUUGUAUCUAUGUGGUCUUAACAAUUCAACAUUUGACCAGUCGUUGUCAUUAUUCUCUUUGUUUCUGUGACAUGAAAGACUCCUGAAAAGCAGGACCAGAUCUGACCCUGUUACAUCCCCUCUCCCUGAUCAGCCCAAGGGUUUUUGCCUCCUUUUAUAUGUGCAUAUGCAAUAGCUUUGAAAGUAUAUUAUAUAAAGAUCAGGCGAUACCUUUUGACAGGGUGCUGUUCACUGCCCAUAUUACAUGAAGACCAGCACGUGCAAAUAUGGUGCAACGUGCAAAUUUGACCACCCACCUCCUGGAGAAGUCAUGACUAUUGCAGCAUCACACAGAACAUCCACUUCUACUGGUGUAGAUGUGAGUGGGGCUGAAGCUGGAACUCCCUAAUGCAGUAGCAGUGAGGCCAUAAGCAUGGAUGAAAGGAAUGUACCGAGUCAUUUUUGGCCUUUGUUUAAUUAAAAAAAAAAAAAACUGAUUUUCUUAUGGGAUUUAGCAGAAUACAGGUCAGGUAUGUCUAAUCAGCGCAAUGAAUGUAAUUCAUGUGCACUGAACGGGACACUGGAGAAACUCUGCAGUUUGUAUCCUUAUUUUCUUUUAAGCAGGUUGAAUAUCGUCUGUUGUAAUUAGCUUCUUUUUAUGUCAGGCCACAUUUGCUGUAUUGGGUUGUAGACUUUUUGCUUAAAUAUGAUCUUGCAUUCCUCCCAUAAGGGUUGUGUUUUCCUCCGGUUAAUUAAGGGGUAUUUACCGACUUUCAAACUUCAAGUAAUGCUGUAGCUAAGCCAUGAAGCCACAAUAAUGGUUGGUUUGCUGGAACUGUGGGUUUCAAUGAAUGAAAAGCAGGACUUAAUGGGAGGUAGAUUCUGCUUUCUUGAGGCAUUCACUUUAAUUCUUGCUGUUCAAUUAAGUUUGGAUAAUGAUGUAAAGCCAACUCCGUUGCCCUACAAUGAUACCUUUUUAAA